This 675-nucleotide ribosomal RNA is filed under the name Staphylococcus warneri. Its description in RNAcentral is "bacterial SSU rRNA". It matches the Rfam family "Bacterial small subunit ribosomal RNA", at positions 1 to 660 of the family's 1533-position model. The record is from RNAcentral. Lineage: Bacteria; Bacillati; Bacillota; Bacilli; Caryophanales; Staphylococcaceae.
UUUUGUAUGAUUUUGAAUGCCCUCUCAGGAUGAACGCGGGCGGCGUGCUAUACAUGCAAGUCGAGCGAACAGAUAAGGAGCUUGCUCCUUUGACGUGAGCGGCGGACGGGUGAGUAACACGUGGAUAACCUACCUAUAAGACUGGGAUAACUUCGGGAAACCGGAGCUAAUACCGGAUAACAUAUUGAACCGCAUGGUUCAAUAGUGAAAGGCGGCUUUGCUGUCACUUAUAGAUGGAUCCGCGCCGUAUUAGCUAGUUGGUAAGGUAACGGCUUACCAAGGCAACGAUACGUAGCCGACCUGAGAGGGUGAUCGGCCACACUGGAACUGAGACACGGUCCAGACUCCUACGGGAGGCAGCAGUAGGGAAUCUUCCGCAAUGGGCGAAAGCCUGACGGAGCAACGCCGCGUGAGUGAUGAAGGUCUUCGGAUCGUAAAACUCUGUUAUCAGGGAAGAACAAAUGUGUAAGUAACUGUGCACAUCUUGACGGUACCUGAUCAGAAAGCCACGGCUAACUACGUGCCAGCAGCCGCGGUAAUACGUAGGUGGCAAGCGUUAUCCGGAAUUAUUGGGCGUAAAGCGCGCGUAGGCGGUUUUUUAAGUCUGAUGUGAAAGCCCACGGCUCAACCGUGGAGGGUCAUUGGAAACUGGAAAACUGAGGCUAGAAGAUGAAC